UGAAGCAUUAGACUAGCUUUCGACUUUAGUCAUUAGUUUCAAAAUAAAACAAAUAAAAUAACCCUAAUAAAAGCCUGCCAUUUGAUUGAAAACAAUAAAAGGAAACUUUUUGUAAUGAAACUAGCCGAUUCCCAAGACACAGCUAGACUCCUUUUCCCUAUCGUCCUUUCACAUCUUCGUCUCCUCUGUGUUGUCGAUAGUCGCUCCAUAUUCCAUAUUAAGCUAUCUGUUACAUUUCAUUUACCACAAGCAAAUCUCAACCUGCACUGCUUCUCCAUCUUCCCUCCUGGUGGGAAUGGUGCUAAGUUAGAUCCGCCCUUCUCGGGUACGUUUCCUCAUUCUUUUGAUGAACUGGAAUUUUAUUUCUUGAAAACGAGUCAUACUACUUUGAAUAUCUCUAAUUAUUGCACCGAUGGUUGAUUUGUCCAAGUUCUUUGACUGGCAUUUUUUUAUAACUGUUCGAGAGUCUCCCAUAACCGUUAUUGAAGGAAGGGCCAUCAAGAUCCCUAACUGAACAGCCUGCAAGCCUGCGUAAGCCUCUGCUGCAAAUGGAGAUGGAACGUUUACGUUUACCACUGUCUUUAAUGCAAGGAGUUCUCCCGUCCAACUCCAAACCACUAAGCCCGAUGCUGAUUUGUGAGUUCUGUCAUCAAAUGUUGCGUCAAACUGAAUCGUUGCCUUGGUGUUUGCAUCUAGAAGGUUGCUCCUGAUACCCAUGGAAGAGGUAAACUUCUUUUCUUCUAAUCCCUCAAUUUCAGCCAUAUAUCUUCCGAUAUUCUGUGAAAUUUCUCCUUUUGACUCUAUCUUCCUUUCAUGCACGAGUUUAUUUCUUGAGCUCCAUAUGAUCCCCAAACCGCAACAGAGCAAGCGACACUGUUGAUAAGAACUAUUCUGAAAUAUCUAGGGGCAUUGGUAGAAAACAUGCACACUGUCUUCUUCUCCAUUCCCACAUCGAGGACAUAAAGCACUAUUAAUCACUCGCUUGUAUUUUAGAUUUGCAAAAAUUGGAAUAUAGUUCCAUGUUAUUCUCCAUAUUGUAAUCAGUAUUUUUUAGGGUAGUCCUAGAUUCCAAAGUUUUUUGUAGAGUUUCUUUGAGUCAGCCUAUAUAAAAUAAUAACUAGGAUCCAAACUAGCUUCUUGUAAUAGUUUGUAGGCGCUUCUAAUAGUAAAUUCUCCAGACGAUUCUCCUUUCCACACUUGAAGGUCGUUAUAAGGACUUUCCGUAAGAGGAAUCUGCAUAAUUUGUUGAGCAAUCUCAUCUUGGAAGGUACUACUAACAA
Gossypium arboreum is the source of this 1280-nucleotide long non-coding RNA. RefSeq lists it as uncharacterized. The record is from RefSeq and is a predicted model, not a curated record. The transcript has 2 exons. NCBI's taxonomy places the organism in Eukaryota, Viridiplantae, Streptophyta, Magnoliopsida, Malvales, Malvaceae.